Molecule: ribosomal RNA, 460 nt
Filed under: uncultured bacterium
Lineage: Bacteria
Description: partial 16S ribosomal RNA
Rfam family: Bacterial small subunit ribosomal RNA
Source: RNAcentral
UCUACGGGAGGCAGCAGUGAGGAAUAUUGGUCAAUGGACGAGAGUCUGAACCAGCCAAGUAGCGUGAAGGAUGACUGCCCUAUGGGUUGUAAACUUCUUUUAUAAAGGAAUAAAACGAGGCACGUGUGCCUUUUUGUAUGUACUUUAUGAAUAAGGAUCGGCUAACUCCGGACCAUCAGCCGCGGUAAUAAGGAGGAUCCGAGCGUUAUCUGGAUUUAUUUGGUUUAAAGGGAGCGUAGAUGGGUGUUUAAGUCAGAUGUGAAAGUUUGCGGCUCAACCGUAAAAUUGCAAUUGAUACUGGCAGUCUUGAGUACAAGUGAGGUAGGCAGAAUUCGUGGUGUAGCGGUGAAAUGCUUAGAUAUCACGAAGAACCCCGAUUGCGAAGGCAGCUUACUAAACUGUGACUGACAUUGAUGCUCGAAAGUGUGGGUAUCAAACAGGAUUAGAUACCCUUGUAGUC